Long non-coding RNA from Beta vulgaris subsp. vulgaris (sugar beet), 166 nucleotides. RefSeq lists it as uncharacterized. Lineage: Eukaryota; Viridiplantae; Streptophyta; Magnoliopsida; Caryophyllales; Amaranthaceae. The transcript has 2 exons. The record is from RefSeq and is a predicted model, not a curated record.
UGACAACUUCCUAGUCGCUGCCGGCUUACGGCAGGACGAGGACAGAGAUUCAGCCAGGAGCAAACUAAGGAAGUCUUGGAUUGGAGACAUGAGCUCGUCCAGAUUUGCGGAUACUCUAUGGAAGGAGUACAGUAAGUCAGGUGCCGAAAAGAGGGCCGACACUCUG